GAAAAGGGGCGCCCUCUAUAGGAUGGGCCUCUGGCUAACUCAGUUUGACUGCUAGAGCUACUAGAAUCAUCAGUUAGACAGAAAAGGAAGUAAAGACAGUCACAAUAAAGGUAGAAGUCUAGAGUCUGCAGCAAAAGGCACCGGCUGCUGAAAGGACAGCAAGAUAACCAGGCAUUCUUCUCAUUGUAAUUGAGCACAUCCCUGGAUACCAUCCUAGAAUUCAUCUGCAAGGAGCAACUUGACUAGCUAAUCUGGGUUUCUCAUUUCUGGAAGACUUUUUACCCACAUUGGGACUCAUACUUGUGUAACUGGAAAUGGAAAUGAGAUCUUCUGAAUGUGGACUGCAAAGGAGAGGGUAUGUCUCACCAGUCAUGGGUUAUAUUACCUUUGUGUCAGAGCUAAGGUGACAAGCCAAGCACAGGAGAUGCACCAAAUGGAAAAGUCCACCGAAAAUUUUUGUCUUUGAAGAGAACAGAAAAAGCAUUAAAUCUCUGUAUCUGGUACAGUCUAUAUGGGUUGUUUUAUCUGAAAGGUGAAGGAGGAAUGCUUUAAAAAAAAGGUAACUUAACUCUAGGCAAAACUUAAAUGAUUUUACUCUCUUUCUUCAUUUCUAAAGUGGGAGGCAGUCAGAUGAGACAGGGCGUGUAGUGUUCCACAAUGAUUCUGCUGCGUUUUCAGCCUCCAGGCUGAGAAGCAAGUGCAACUAAUAUUCCAAGGCACGAGUCAUUUCCCCACCAUUUUACAAAGGCUGGACUAACUCUGGCUUUCUCAAUGUAAGGUGUACACAUUAAAGAUAUAGAGAUAGUUCUUAAAAAGUUAUAAGUUCAAACAUUCCAUAGUAUGUGCAACCUAAUGAAUUACAGAAUGGGAGACACUUUCAUAGGAGCACCUGAUUCAGUGUCCGCCCACCUCUUGUUUCUAAUUAAAAAAACCCAAAGAAAUAAAAACCAAUGGCAUUGCAGUCAUGCUUUAAUUUUAUUCUAAGCUUGUGUCAUCCUCUUGAAUUGAGACUCACAGGGAACAGGGCCCAGCAAAUCCCUGGACCUCCUGGUAUUUCGUGUAAACACAGCACCUAACCUGGACUGGCUUCCAUAGAGCUAAGACAUUUUCUGUUUCGCACACAGAGCAAUAUGUUUCAAAAUGUAGUGUGGAAAUUGCUGGGGUGUAUAAAUAAGCUUUAAAAUGUAUUUUAACAAAUAUAUAAAAAAUAUAUAUACACACAUAUAUACAUA
This 1232-nucleotide long non-coding RNA is filed under the name Homo sapiens (human). RNAcentral describes it as "HSALNT0238794". Lineage: Eukaryota; Metazoa; Chordata; Mammalia; Primates; Hominidae. The record is from RNAcentral.